UCUCAUAUAUACAUAUUUAUGAUUUGAAGGAAGCAAUUGAUUUAGACACAAGUGAAAGUCUGUUAUGAGGACUUCUGAAAUAUCUGCAGUGAACUUCCAGCUUUAUUCUAAAGCACAAAGUGAUUAAUCACAAUUUACAUGUUGUAAUGUUUUUAUUACAAACACUUGGCUACAUCUCAGUAACUUCAUCUAAAUAAACACUUUUAUCCUUUGUGUGGUGACUUUUCAAAGAGAGACAGAAAGAGAGACACUCAGUUUACUGAAGAAAAGUUGUGCAUGUAGGUGGUGGCUCCUGUGACGAUAACCUGUGACCGUACCCCCUCCAGUGAGCUGUGGUGGAUGGUCAUGUUCCCAGUGCACAGCUACAGUGAGGAUUUUCCAACAGUCAAUCAAAAUGUGUGCUCAACCCCCCAAAAAACUGAGUAGAGAAACUUUCUCAUUGACAGCAAAACAUGUGGAUAAC
This 463-nucleotide long non-coding RNA is filed under the name Anas platyrhynchos platyrhynchos (common mallard). RNAcentral describes it as "lncRNA (ENSAPLG00000023718.1)". The record is from RNAcentral. Lineage: Eukaryota; Metazoa; Chordata; Aves; Anseriformes; Anatidae.